This 1150-nucleotide long non-coding RNA is filed under the name Homo sapiens (human). Its description in RNAcentral is "hepatocellular carcinoma up-regulated long non- coding RNA". The record is from RNAcentral. Lineage: Eukaryota; Metazoa; Chordata; Mammalia; Primates; Hominidae.
GCGGGCGGGCCGUUACCUCCCGCGCAUGCUCUAUGGGGUAGAGACGCUAGGCCGGCACUGCCUAGGUGGGCCGGGCGGUGCGAGGGUCGCCUUUCAGCCUUUACCUCUACCCACUGAAAUGGAGUAGGUCGGUGAGCGCCGAUCUGCUGGAGAAUCUCAUUAUCCCAUCGGCGCUCUGCCUGCUCCUGGCCUCCAAGCCUCUGAAGCCCCUCGGGUUUCAGCUGCCGGCUACCCUCGAGCCCGUGGUGCCCACGAGAGAGGCGACUUUACGUCAGCGGCCCUGGGCUGAGAUUUGAGAACGCGACCAAGUGGAGAAUGUUGGAGCCAGAUUUUAAAAUCCUUGUCUUCCUUCUGCGUGCUACUUGAUCUAAAUGAGAUACGGCAAAGUCACAGAACCUGUUUUUAUGUUUUUGCCUGAUUCAUACGGGCUUCUCCGGUGAAGAUGGGCCUGAAGUAACGCUUGGGUUGCUUCUGACGUUAUAACUCAUCCUGUAGCUGCAGCAACCGUGGUCCUUGCAACCUCAUAAAAAUGUUGCCAGCAUUGUUUCGAUAGUGCUGCUUAAUUCUUGGAAGGCCUCUUUGCUUUCUUCCCUGAGGUUCUUCGGACUUCACACAUUCCAGCAGUAGCUCUCUCAGCUCCUGUCCUGCACAGCUUUGAAGUGCUGUUAACCAACAGGACACAGCCCUGGUGAUGGCUUUCUGAGGAUGACACGAUGGAGGCUUCUCCAAUAGCUCUAAAACUGCGGUGUGGAAAACAUUCGGCAGCCUCAAAGAGCGGUCUUGUUGACCCCAACUAUAUCAUUUUUCAUCAAAAUCAUUCUUGUAAAGAAUGACCAGGCAACACUCUUUGAAAAUUGGAGGCCAUUUGCAGCUGCUCUCUGUUGAGGAAAGUGAAUAAUAGGGUGCCCUCAAGGAAUUGCAAAGGUAUCACUCAACAGAAACUUUCGUGUCUGAAGAAAACUAGAUCAUUUUAUCAUGGUAGGCAUGCUGAUAUGUUUGCUUUAAUAAAAUGCCAUAUUUCUGCCUUUAAUCUCUUGUCAACCCGCUAUUAAAAAGCCCCAAAGUGCAUGUGUGCAGCGCAUGUAAACACUUGUGGUUUUGAGGUUACCACAGAACAUACUAAUAAAGCAUGUAAUUUGUGUUUUGUGCA